UCUUUAAAGGACAGACAUAAUAAUGUGGUUCUCCUGACAGAAGAGCUUCCUCCAUCUAAGGAUUAGAUGGGGUUCUCCUGAGAGCUGAAGGGAAAGGACUAAUGAAGAUCUUCUGGACUCAGAACACUGCUGAAUCAUGCUUCAUAUAUUUAAUACUGAGAAUAAAGAUCAUCAAUUCUUCUGAACAUUAAAACUGCUGACAACUA
This is a long non-coding RNA of Pseudopodoces humilis (Tibetan ground-tit), 206 nucleotides long. RefSeq lists it as uncharacterized. NCBI's taxonomy places the organism in Eukaryota, Metazoa, Chordata, Aves, Passeriformes, Paridae. The record is from RefSeq and is a predicted model, not a curated record.